CCUACGGGAGGCAGCAGUGAGGAAUAUUGGUCAAUGGACGAGAGCCUGAACCAGCCAAGUAGCGUGAAGGAUGACUGCCCUAUGGGUUGUAACCUUCUUUUAUAUGGGAAUAAAAUGUUCCACGUGUGGGAUUUUGUAUGUACCAUAUUAAUAAGGAGCGGCUAACGACGUGCCAGCAUCAGCGGUAAUACGGAGGAUCCGAGCGUUAUCCGGAGUUUUUGGGUUUAAAGGGAGUGUAGGUGGAUUUUUAAGUCAGUUGUGAAAGGUUGCGGCUCAACCGUAAAACUGCAGUUGAAACUGGCAGUCUUGAGUACAGUAGAGGUGAGCGGAAUUCGUGGUGUAGCGGUGAAAUGCUUAGAUAUCACGAAGAACUCCGAUUGCGAAGGCAGCUCACUGGACUGCAACUGACACUGAGGCUCGAAAGUGUGGGUAUCAAACAGGAUUAGAUACCCGAGUAGUC
RNAcentral lists this ribosomal RNA (460 nucleotides) under uncultured bacterium. RNAcentral describes it as "partial 16S ribosomal RNA". It matches the Rfam family "Bacterial small subunit ribosomal RNA", at positions 338 to 795 of the family's 1533-position model. The record is from RNAcentral.